GCAGGUUUUGGGCUUUGUGUGAGCAGAAUUCGCUACUAACCUACCGAAUCAUGUUUUGGAAUGCAUGUUCUUACGUAUGGUACACUGUAUACCUACGUUCCAAAAUAAUGAAUUUAGCGAUCCUAAACAAUCCUACAAUUUUUCCUCUUUGUUUCUUUAUAUUUACUGUAAGAUAGAAGAAUAAAUUAUGAAGAACCAAAACUGGAGUUUUGAUAGGAAAAUAUAAAAGAAGAUUUGUCAAAAAGCUUCUAGAGAUGUAUUUUACAUCAGUAUUUAGCAAAGUAGGACUCGAUUUGUCCAAUGUUGCUCGCUUUAAAUAAGUAUAGUUUCGCUUUAAACAAGUAUAGUUCUGAAUCGUAAUCUAUAGAAGUCUACUCCCAUUUAUUGCAAUUAUGUGCAUGUGGUAUAUCGCCUCCCCAUUCCCAUUCCUCGUAUUGGAUGGAUCCUCGUUCCAGGUGUCAUAACUUGGACGGGACCUUUGCUUUGGGGGGAAAUGGGUGGUUGGAAUAAGAACCCAUUUUUUGCACUCCCGUCUUGCCUUGGCUUUAUGUGGGUGGUGCUUUAGAGGAGCCGAAAAGGGUGGUUAAUCCGAUUUCCAUUGAGCCCCUUCUAUCAGUGGUGGUUUCACAGCAACGGGUUUUAAUUGAAGCUAGCUGGAGGAUGGAAAUGCCUUGUGGGGGCACUCAUAAGUCCAAGUCUCCAAAUCUCAGCGUAAGAGGGUACAUAGGGAGCUUCGCACUCAACCGUAACAACAUAGUUGUGCCUUAUGAGGAGGAGGAGAUUGUGGGGAGGGAGGAAGGUUCUUUACGUAUGUUAAAAUUACAUCCGCCCGAACUCUCCACUAUAAGUGGGCGAAUCAGCUUAAGUAUGUAGAAUUGUAAGUAGUGGUUAGGUAGUGAAGUUUGAGGAUUGAAUCUUUUGCCUGCCCUAUCAUAUGGUUGGUGAUCAAGGCCCAUCAAAUAUCAGCUUUUAGGUAAUGGGCAUCGUAUUGUAUUGUAUUAAGCUCUAAUAAUGUCUAACCUACUUCUAUUAGUGGAAAGACCAAUAGCCAUGUACAAGCAAGUGUAAUCGCACAAGCAAGCUAGAGUAAACAUGUAUAAACAAUUGGGUGGAACAAAUUCAUAGAGAGACUUGACCUCAUGGCCUUUUUGAACCAAAGGCUCUGAUACCAUGCUAAGAUAUUAACAUUAACUUAGCAUGGUGUCAGAGCUUUGGUUCCAAGAGUUACUGGGUUCAAGCCUUGUGAUAUUGUUUGUGAGAAACAUGAAACAAAAGCAAACUCUCACAGUUCGGAGCCCAGCUCCUACUGUGAAGUUGCAGUUGCCAUGUUUCUGCACCUUACGGUAUAUUUGUUUGCACACCCUAUUUGUUUGUGCACUCUGUUCCAUGUGCGAGGUGAAGUCAUGUGGGGGAAAGAGGGGUGGUUAGGUCUGAGAUAACUUGAUGUUAGUAGUAAAGCUAGUAUUCUAUCAUCUUAAUAGUUUAGUGCAAUUGGUUGGUAACAAUGUGGACAAAAACUUGUGUUUCACAGUCUGUAUUUGAAGGGGUACAAAUUCACAGGGAAGACAUGAACUUAAGACCGUUCGCCUAACAUGUUUAUGUUAGUAAGAGGGGGAAGGGAUGAGGAUUUACCCUCACCAGUGCCAAACACCUCACAGCCCAUACCUCUACCUCCUACAUGUUUGGUUCUACAUGUAGUUCUUGGCGGAAGGAAAUAGAGUGGAUAAGGAUCAGUUAUUGGUAUGGCUGGAGGCGGCUCCAUUCAUUCCCUUCCAUGGUCAAUUGACCACCCAAAUAUUUUUUUCUCUCUUGGCAUACAUGUAAAAUUUUUGGACUAACCAUACUUUGAACACCCAACCCAAUUGUUUGAACACCCAACCUAAAUGUUAACGAACACCCACCCCAAAAAUAGCCCACAAAUUAAUCCACUUGAAAUUGAAAGCCUAAAUUUCAGCCCACUAAAUUUCAAUUGCAUUACAAAAGAAGUCACAAGAUAUUGUAAAUGCCAUGGCACUUGUUGAAAUGUCUAAGCAACGGUUGCAAGUGAUGAGAGAUGAUGGGUGGGAUUCUUUGUUGGCCGAAGUGUCUUCGUUUUGUAGGAAGUAUGGUAUUCCUUUUCCUAACAUGAGUGAAAUGUUUGUAUCUAGUGAUUGGCCACAACGCAAAGCCCCAUAAAUAACGAUUUCUCAUCGUUAUCGUGCUGAGCUAUUCUGUACAGUCUUGGAUUUGAAAUUUCAUGAGCUGAAAAAUCGCUUCACAGAGGCAAAUACGGAGUUGCUACUUUGUGUGAGUUGCUUGAAUCCUAGAAAUUCAUUUUCUACUUUUGAAAGGAAAAAGUUGAUUCGUCUUGCGGAACUCUACCCAUGUGACUUUUCUAAGGUGGACCUAAUGGCAUUGAACAUUCAACUUCAAAAUUACAUUUUUGAUGAUAUUUACUUUGCUAUUUUUGGGUCGCAUUUUAGAUGUUACGUAUGACUUUUUGUUUAUAUAUAGUUGUGGUUUCUCGAGAUAGUAUAGUGCAUUUUCUGAACACCCUUAGAAAAAUUCCGGGAGCCGCUACGGCAGAGUGGGGGUUCAUAACUAUACAUCAAAAUCAAUGUUCUAAAUGGCGCUUGGCGGUAGUCGGGCGGAGACCCACCUCCAAGCGCCAAGCCGCCUAGGCGGCGCCAAGCAAUUUGGCGGAUUUUUUUUUUUUUAACAAACCAUUAUCCAAUCAAACUAUAUUUCAUGUAUCCAUAAUGCAAGUUCAAACUUUAAAGUACAAACCCAAAUGAAAUUAAGUAGUAGCAACUAGCAAAUAAGUUGAAUAAGACAAUAAGUAG
Rhododendron vialii is the source of this 2822-nucleotide long non-coding RNA. RefSeq lists it as uncharacterized. The transcript is spliced from 2 exons. NCBI's taxonomy places the organism in Eukaryota, Viridiplantae, Streptophyta, Magnoliopsida, Ericales, Ericaceae. The record is from RefSeq and is a predicted model, not a curated record.